This 882-nucleotide long non-coding RNA is filed under the name Drosophila guanche. Lineage: Eukaryota; Metazoa; Arthropoda; Insecta; Diptera; Drosophilidae. The record is from RNAcentral.
GGUACUAUUGUGCGAUAGGCUGAACUUAUCGAUGUUGUCUUUUGAAAAUACCAAUCAAAAUUGUUUCCAAAUAAAUUCUUCCGCUAUAAAUAAAUUAAACAAUAUAAUUUCUCUCCAACAGAGUCUCCACCGGAUCUUAUCAAUUAUUCAUACCAUUCCGCAUCUAUCCCAUCUACCACCAAAUUGUUUGGUCUACAAGUAAGAUAUCUCAAUAUAUUGUAAAAUUUAACCAUAACAUAAACGUUUAAAUACAUUUGUAAAUAAUCGUUAUACAUUCGACUGACUUAGUCAUUUUCGAUUUGUCUUUAUUAUUGCAUUUUCUGACCGUGGCGUCCUUCCUCGGUGUUCAUGCCUACGUACUAAGAACCUGCGAUGAAGGUACAUUAGAGCGAUGUCCACGUUCAAAGAAAUCUUAAAGUUUCGUGCUCCAAUACUCGAGGCCGUACCAAAUGGAGAAGACGAUGUCCAGAGAUAUUCUUGUUCCACAGAGGGGCCAUCAGCAGUGUCAGAGGUCCAGGGCCAGGCCCAGCUCUACAAACCGCUAAAGAUCCUCCGGGGAUUAACGCCAGUCCUUUGAAUUUGGAUUACACAAUUUGUUUGUGUUUGAAUUACAAAUUACAUUAAACUUAUUUAAAGUAUAAUUAGGCAUCCCGAGGAGACGUGACCUUUCAGCAGACGAGGCGGUAGGAGAUAUAUCGACCAGCUGUCUCCGACGAACGGAUGAUCUUUACAACUUGACCACGCUUAAGACCGAAGUAGCGAGCCACUGGAUCGCCGGCCUGGAUGCGCAUCAACAUGUUCUCCUUAAGCUUGUAGCGACUGAGCAGCUCCUGCUUCUCCUCAACGGUCAUCACCACAUGCUCCGGCACCAGCUCGUGCUCG